UUUUUUUUUUUUUUUUUUUUUUUUUUACGGUCUGGGGGAUAUUCCGGAAUCAUCCGGACUAAUGCCCAACAACGGUAGCAAGUGAGUGUCAAACAUGGGACCUUGCUGUAAAGACAGAUGACCGGAACCAACCGAGCUAUCCACUGAAGCCUCCGAUUUCCGAUUAGAAACGACGCAGUUGACGACUUCAUUUUUCCAAAUUUUCUAUGUACUCUGGAUCGGAGAGGUACGUAUUCUUCAUUAAUGACAUUAAUGCUGGCCACAGGAAGAAAGUAAACCGAUAAUGUUGCUAAAAUAUAAAAUCAAUUUCAGUGCUGGCCAGGUGGAAUUCUUGAUUCGGGACGAGUAGAUCAUACACUUGUAAUAUGGGGUGCCCAAGUGAAUGUUCGUUGGUAAGGGUUUCAUCAGCAGGCCAAUUAGAUCAGCAACACCGAAUCCAGUGGCUACACCUAACCUACACCUGCAAAUGAUGAAAGCAGAAAACGAGAGAAACUCACUCACUCUUUAAUUUUCAACUUUGUUGACAAAAUUGUUCCCAUUCUAUCGUGUUGGUAUCCUGAAAGAGAAAUGUCCUUUUUUCUUCCAAUGAAGUUGAAGUGCGAAAAUUUUCAGGUCUUCAUUUGCCAAGUCGCGUUCAUAUCUGGUGUUGCAAUUUGCACAUCAAGCUUGAAAAUGAUACCUUCACCGGGGAAACACAGAACAGAUGCCGCAUUCUGAUUUCUGAAAUCUGAACCAAUAAAAUAUUACUACAAAUGGGUGUCCUUUUCAUUACGCAUGGAUUGAAUUUAACGUAAAGUGAUUGCAUUAAAUUUUGGUGGUUGAAGUUCUGGCCACGACUAGUCUUGAGAUCUUGCGUAAAUUGUCAUAAGAUUUUAUAUUCAAAUUGAGAAUUUAACGCAAAAUUUGAAAUCUUUCGAAUCCUUCAAAGUUAUGCAAGUGACUUCAAAGAUAUUUAAAUUUGUAAUUCAUCGAUCCUUUUAACGUGUAAAAUUAUAUUUCAUUCAUUCUCUUUGUUUCAUUUUCAAAGCCAUAACGCUUGUUCUCAGCAAAUUAAAAUGAGUUAUAAAUGUUUUCUUUUAAAAUUUAAAUAUGUAUUUAAUUUUAAAAUUCCGUUGAAAAAGUUGAAAAAUAUUCGUUAAUGUUUAGAUAAGUUAAAAAUGGAACUAUGUGGCUAGAAAGAUGAUGUAUGUCCCUGUGCAACUGACUAAACUCCUUUAAAGCGCCCUACAAUCUUCCAAAUGAGAUUUGGUCCACACAUGCGAUUCCCCCGCAAGUGAUAAAAGGGAAUGCUAAUGUUUGGAUUGUAAAUUAUUUGAAAUAAUUUUGUGAAAAAAUUACGGUAGCAUUUUUUUGAUAUGAUGUAUGUGAGAUAAAAAGAUAAUUGAAAAAUGAAUUGAUGAUGAUGCAAGUAAGUCAGUGUGCGUAAAUAAAGGUACGUUUGGAUUAGCUGUUUUUUGGGUUGUUUUUCAAAAACAACACUGUAGCAUUUCGUUUUUCAAAUACAAGUCCGUUUGGAUUAGUUGUUUUUUAGGUUGUUUUUCAAAAAUUAUAUGAAAAAAUUUUACUAUAGAUGUUUUUUGGAUUAUUUUUUGAGGUAUUUUUAAAACAUAUUUUUGAGUAUUUUUAUAAUUUAUAAUUUAUAAUUUUUAUAUUUAUAUACAUUUAUGCAUUUAUAAUACAUUUAUAAAUAAAUAUAUUUAUAUAAAAAAUAUAUAAAUGUAUUAUAUUAUAUAUAAUACUAAUAUAAAUAUAUUUAUAAAUGUAUAAAUUAUAAAUGAAUAUUAUAUAAAUGUAUAAAUUAUAAUUUAUAAAUAUAUAUCAAUAUUAUGUAUAAAUGUAUUAAUAUAAUUUAUAUAAAUGUAUAAAUGUAUUAAUAUUAUGUAUAAAUAUAUAAUUAAUAUUAUUUAUAAUUUAUAAUUUUUAUUGUUUAAAUAUUUAUAUACAUUUAUGCAUUUAUAAUACAUUUAUGCAUUUAUAAUACAUUUAUAAAUAAAUAUAUUUACAUAAUUAUAUAUAAAUAUAUAAAUGUAUUAUAUUAUAUAUAUUACAUAAUAUAAAUAUAAUUAUAAAUGUAAUAAUUGUAUAUUAUUAUAAAUGUAUAAAUUAUAAAUGAAUAUUAUAUAAAUGUAUAAAUUAAUAUAUUAUAAAUAUAUAUUAAUAUUACGUAUAAAUGUAUUAAUAUUAUGUAUAAAUGUAUAAUUAAUAUUAUGUAUAUUAAUAUGAAUGUACAAAUGUAUUAUAUUAAACAUAAUACAUAAUAUAAAUGUAUAUUAUAAAUAUAUAUAAAUGUAUAAUAUAUUAUAUAUAUUUAAUAUUUAAUAUUUAUAUAAAUAUAUUAUAAAUAUAUAAAAAUAUAUUAUAAAUAAAAUAAAAUAUUUAUAAUAUGUAUAAAUAAAUAUAAAAAUAUAUAAUAUUAUAAAUGUAUAAUAUAUAUAAUAUACAUUAAUAUUAAUAUAAUCUGUAUAUAAUAUACAUAAUUGAAAUAUACACUUUAAUUUUUAUUAAUAGAUAUUAUAAAACAAAAUUGCAUAAAUAUAUUUAUAAAUUUAUAUAAAUAUAUAUAUAUACACAUAGUAUACAUAAUUGAAAUAUGCAAAUUGAAAUAUACAUAUUAAAGAUGUAUAUUUGGAAUUGUUUUUGAUAUAUUGUUUGGAGGAGUUGUUUUUUAAAUACACAUUUACUGUAGCAUUUGGAAUGUGGAAAACAGUUUUUCAAAAACAGAAGCAAAAACAAGGAAUCCAAAUGAACCCAAGGUGUAAUAAAUUACAAUCCAAACUUACUAUUCUUUUUUUUUAAUGGCAGUCCCAUUACUUGUUUCAUUAUGUAGUCUAAUAAAUAAAAUUAUAUAAUAAAAAUGAUAGUAGAAAUGUCAUUAACAAAAAAUGAAAUGAAAUUAACAAUUCUCUAAAAUUAUAUAGAACCCACGUAAGGCCAAAUGAAAAUAAUAUAACCUUUUUUUUCCCUUAAAAAUUGUUUAACGAUGUAGAGAGGGCAAUCAUGUGAAUUCAUGUUGAAGUCAAUCAGGACAGCCCCUAAAAUUGCGACUGGAGUAUAGCGCUGCGUUGGGGCAAUAUUGUCAAUUGACAACCGCCGGCUUGCUUUAGAAUUAUAAUGGAGAGAAAUGGUUCAAAAUGGAUAUUCGCACCCAGAAAGAGCAUAAUUCUCUGCGUGUCGUGCAUAUUCUUCGCCGAUUCUUCCCCGACAGAAUGAUGGACCCCACAUUUCUGACAUGGAAAACGGAUUCUUCUUUGGAGAGUUUUAGUGACGUGGAAUUUCACUUGAACAAAUUGUCAAUUGGUUGGACAAAACGUCUUACACCGCAUUUGCCUGCCUGUCUGCUUCCCCAUGACUAGGCCUGCUCACGACUCGAGCUGCUCGCAAGCUCGAGUCAAAGCUCGACUCGAGCUCGGUCAACACGAGCUCGAGCCGUUCGUCAAGACACACGAGGCGAUCUCGAGUCUUCAUUUCUUAGGCUCGAUAACUCGACGAGCCGCUCGUUUGACUCGAGUACAUGUGAAAUUAUAAAAAUACCCAUGUAUCAAUUAAAAUUUACAACUUUCUGCACACUCUCAGGCUCUAAGCUACAAUCGAUUUCGGCCACAGUAAUCUAAACUUUCCUCCUUCCUUCGAUUAGGUUAACUUCUCUCCGCCGCCGACCGACUGUCCCAAACUCCCACUGCCAUCGCUGCUACUGCUAGCUCCGUCUCCAGUCUCCACUUCCUCCCACUUCGGCUUGCUUUCCAUUGCUGCUACUGCUAUCUCCAUCUCCACCACUUCCUCCCACUUCCGCCACUGCCAUCGCUGCGCAGUAGCUCCGUCUCCACCACUUCCGCCAGCUCCACUUCAGCAACCUCCAAGCCGCGCAAGAAUCUGAGUGUGUAACCCACUGACGGACGAGGAUCUGGAAGGCCAUCUCCGGCUUUGUCUAAGCUUUUCCAGUGUCGCAAGUGUGCCACCCGCUGAGCCCAUGUCCACCACUCCCUACCGUCAUCCUCAUAUCAGUCCACUGGAAUUUGUCCCUAGAUUUUGCAGGUAUGUACUGAGGUUCUUUUCCUUUUCAUUUUCCUUUUUCUUUGGAAUCUAGAAGGUGAUCCACUUUGCUCUGCUUUGAAGUAGUAAUAACAAGGGGUAAAUGAAAUUCGAUGUCAUGCUUUUUGGUACUGUCUUGAUGAUAGUUUGCAUUCUUCCCCAUUUAUUGCUUAAGGAGAGGGGGGGUUAAGGGUUGGACUGAAGAUAAUUUUCAACGUUAAUCUUUCUGCAAGUCCCGGGCCAUCUCAAAGAGGGGUUGUGCAACUUAAUCAACUAGGCACUGGGACGGUUGAUCAAAAUACUGAAUUGGCGCUACUUGGCAUAGGGAACUUUAGAUUUUAUUUUUCCUUACUUUAAUUGAAGAAGAUAUUUGCCUAAUUGCUGACUCAUCAACUGCAAAUACUGCCUAAACAUGGACUUGCGAAUUGAUUACUGGUAUUGUAGUGAGCUGGGUAAUGUCCAUUUUCAAUUACUCUAGAGGAAGUAUAAAAGGUCUACUUUUCUGAUUAAUUUUGUAUUGGAAAUUAGAACUUUCCCAGAUUGUGGGUCAUAUCAUACGAUUUUGAUUUUGGUAGGAUAUAGGAAAUGUAUGCAGUAAACAAGGGCCUGGUACUACGUCAAUUUCAUGGCCAUAAGCAUUUGUGCAACUGGCUGUGACUUGGUUGCCAGAGGUGGCAGAUGCUAAAUGUAUGGCUUCCAUUGAUAUUUCGGAGCAGGGAAUGGAGCGGCUGCAAUUAAGAUUUUUGGUACUGAAUUGCUUAAGAUUGAGUGUCGGUGCAGUUAUCAUUCCAUAAGAUUGGGUCCACUUAUUGUGUUUGUUUCGCUACAGAAUGUUAAUUCUAUUUCAGACAUUUAUACUUGAAAAUUUUAUCCUCCAUCUUUUCUUUCUUUCACAAUUGCUGCAGAUUUAUCUUCAAUUUAAUAAAAAUUUUGAGAUGUUACUGUCUUGAUAUAAUCCCUGUAAUUUAUGUAUCAGGAUGUUGGACAUUAUUAGGAACUAAAAUUGCGCAUUUUGAUUUUGGAGAACUAAAAUUUCAUAGUAAGGUUCAAUCUGAUUGAGUUUUUGUCCAGAAGUAGUAUAUGUUUGGGGUAAUUUACCUUUAAUUUACCUUUAGUAGUAAAACCUUGUCUAAACUGCUUCCUUCAUUUUCUUUGUAUUACUUUUCAUGAACCUUUAAUAGACUCUCUUAGCCCCUUGUUAUCUUUAAAUCAUCUCUUGGAUUUACCCUUGGAUCUGAAAUACAAAGUACUGUGCAUGGCUAUGAAUUGGCUGUGAUGAAAAAGUACUCUCUUAGCCCCAAGUUUGUAUAGUCUAGUAUCCUACUUAUCUUGUACAAUAUCUUUCCUGAGUUUUAAAGCUAUUGGUAAUAACAGUUUUUUUGUGCCAGCUCCAGCUCCAGCUUCCUCAUUGUUGAUUGGAUAACUAGUGGCCGUUAUAGAAGAGGUGAAAAAUGGGACUUUGAACUUUUACUAACAGCAUUUUUCUAGAAGCUGAUGAGCCUUUGUUUCUUGACACGGUAUUGUCAUCCUCGAGCCAUGUUUUUUAACUAUGCUAGCAUCAUUGUAUACUAAGCGUGUGAUAUUGAAGAGAGUGGUGAAACUGAAGUAUUUUAAUCUUAUAAGAAAUUUUUAUUUUUUGAACUAUUGCUUGUAAUAGAUUCAUGUCAAUCUUGAAUAUCUUUAGAUUUUGGUGGAAUGUUGUAUUUCUUUUUUGUUUUAAUUGCUUUCGAGCUUUUGUGGGGCAGUCGGCAAAAUGGACAAUAGGAAAAACAAUAAUCCUGUUACCAUGUGCUUCUUUGCUGCUUUAGGUGAAAAAAAAGGAACUAUUUUCGUUUGUCUUCACAUCCUAUCUCGUAUUCUUGUUAUGCAGGUAUAAGUUCUUUUCUUGGCAGAAUGCAAUUCAAAUUCUUCUACAACUUCUUGCAUUAGUGAAAUGCUGGUUUAGCUGAAUUUUAUAUUGCUUGAUAGAGGUUUCAAAGUGUGGUUAUUUUCUUCUUAUGAUGGCAGAAACUGUUAAUUUGUAUUAGUGGAUAAUUUUGAAGAAUUUGUAUUAGUGGACAUUUGGAGAAUUAUGAUUGUAUUAGUCAAUUAGUGCUGUUUCGUGCUUAAAUUUCCAGAAAUUUUCGAGCUAUUUUCGAGCUCGAACUCGAGCUCCUAACGAGCUAGAAAUCGAGCUGUCUUCGAGCUUCAUGCGAGCCAGAAACUCGAGCGCAACUCGAGCUAUUCGCGAGCCAGAAUUCGAGCUAAGCUCGCGAGCCAUAAACGAGUCGAUCUCGAGUUUUCCUGUCGAGCCGAGCUCGAGCUCUAUUUUUCGAGCUCGACGAACUCGAGCUCGCAUAUAAACAACUCUAACUCGACUCGACUUGGCUCGUUUGCAACCCUAGACAUGCUUGGCUUCGCCAGGAAUGCAGGUCGGAAUGGAAGAGAUCUAUUCUUCCACCGUCUAAUCAAAGCCCAGUUAUUAUUUUAUUUUAACCAAGAAAAGGAAAGGUAAUAAAUUAUAGGCCCAUCCCUUUAACUGUAAGAAUGCGUGGAGCAAAUUAAAAGGUCGAUCUGAGGUUGACAGGCUAAUUACUUAAAAUAUUCCCUUACAAUUAAAGUAGUAAAUAUAACCUACUUUAUUUAAUACAGUCAACUUUUCCACCAAUAAUUGUUUUGAUAUAUGUCUUGAAUGGUAUUAUAAUUAAUGUAAAGGUAUAGUGAUUAGUUACACUUCAAAUAUUAAUGUAAGGGUAUUUUAGAAACACAUUAAGCUAUAUUUACUUUUUCAUCAAAGUUAACUAAUUUUUUAAAAUUGUUCUAGAAAAAAAUCAAGACUGUCAAAGUAGGACAGAGGGAGUAUUACUCAGCAAACUUCUUUUAUUAGUUCAGGAAAUUCAAAAUAAAUAUUCAAAAAUAAUUGGUAUAACUUUACAUAGCUGCGAAAAAAAUCAAAAUUAUCAAAAUGGGACAGAGCGAGUAUUUCCCAGCAAACUUCUUUUAUUAGUUCAGGAAAUUCCAAAAUAAAUAUUCGAAAAUAAUUGGUAUAAUUUUACAUGGCUUUGUGAAAGGUAUGGCCAGACUUUUAAAAAAAUGAAAGAAAGAAAGAAAAAAACCAUCUCUGUACCACGGCAUGGUUAUAACGAAGAGAAAAUUUUAUUCAUUCACAGACUUUGAGAAUGUCCUUUAUUCAUUCAAUGACUUUUUUUUUUUUUUACUUUUUGCAGGUGGCUGUCAGGCUGCAGCCAGUGAUCUUUAAAAAUAAAAUAAAAUAAAAUUUUGUGUCAGGUGCGAGGCUGACACAGCCGAUACCAAUAGUUUGAUACCACAAUAUUGUCAGAGUCGUAAGUGUUCGAUUUUUUUUUUUUUUUUACAAUAUUCUAAGUAAUUAGCCAGGUUGACACGACAAAGUGAUUUAUUUUUUAUUUUUUGAAAAAGGGUAAGAAAUGGACUUCGUCAUACAGCCAAUUAAGUCAUCUCAUCAGAAAUAUUUGAAGAUCAAGUGUAUAAUUUUAAAGCAAUCCUUAUUAUUAGUUGGGAAGGUUAGGACACUUUUGACCGUAUUCGCGUACUUGACAAAUGUGGGAAGCUCAUUGCAAUUAAUGGAUAAAAUUUCGAUAAUCUCUCAUUACCUAUAUACAUUUUAGUAUAUAUUGUUGCUUGUUUUCUGGUCGGGAUAAUUUCAGAAAUCAGCAUGAGGUUUCUGACAAUUUUACUAAUCUCCCCUGAGAUUUGAUAAAUUAUACUAACAGCCUUUGAUAUAAUAAGGGCCCAUUUGCUUAAUGAUGAACCCCAACACAUUAUCUGAAAUUAGAAACUAAAACAUAAGAAUUAAGUAAUUAUGGCACAAAUCAAUUAAUUAACAAAAUUAUCUGUUAACGGCAUGAACAAUAAUGUGGAAAACACAACAUUGCGCCAUUUUGUGAUUAACAAAAGUUGACAUGACCAUAUUUCAAUCGUAUAUCAAAAAAGCUGGGGUAGAACAAAGGAAACACUGAGGAAAGAAAUAAAAAAAUAAGUUUGUUCUUGAGGAUUUUUUCCCUUGGUUUAUAAACUAAAUAGAUGAUUUUUUUUGUAUCCAAGUAAUUUUGUGGAAGUGACUGAGAGAGAAGGUAGAAGAGAAGCAAAAUUGGAAGUUCUUUUUUAUGCAAAAUCACAAAAAGCAUAUCCUAAGGCAGGUAAACAAUCUCUACUAUUGUCAAUUUAAUAUUUAAAAAUUAUAAUCUUAUUUGAAAUUAAUGAAAUUUUCCUAGAAAAUUAUAAUUGCAAAACAUCUUCAUUGAUAGUUAUUUUUGCUAGUACACAUUGACAGGAAUGCAUAAGAAGCAUUUGUGGAAAAAAAAUUUCAUCUCUCUCUUGAAAGUAUUUUUUUAAUCAUACUUUUUUUUUGGAGAUGAACUACUUUUGUCACAUAAUCAUAAAUCUCAAGGGAAGUGGCCCCGUUUCGAUUGCAUUUUUCUGAAUUUUUUGUAGAAAAAUUACUGUAGCGAUUUAAUAUAUGUGAGGUAAAAAGACGAUAGAGAGAUGUGUUCACGAAAAACGUAACAAUUUUUUUGAGAGAAAUCGCAAUUCAAACAGGGUAGUAUAAUUUUCUAAAACUUGGGAUAGAUUAGUGAAAUUGUCAAAAACCUCAAGAAAGGUUUUUGAAAUCAUCCCUUUCUGGUAUGGAAAGAUGAGACACUUCCGUUAUGAAAGCAAUAACGCAUCCGCAAGUACAUUUGAUGAAAGUUCGCAGAUUUAAUCAUGGAAUGUAGACAAGAUUAAUAGCGAUGAACAAGACUUGUCAUUGCUAGGUAAUUUAAUUCAUGGCAUAAGAUCAAUGUUGGCUGUAUUUGAUUUUGUCAAAGUUAAUUAUGUGAGGAGGACCAACAAUGUUCCUGCCCACAUCAUGUCAAAAAUGUCGAUGUCCCUUGAGGAAAGUAGAGUAUGGUUUGUGAACUUCCCCAAGAUUGUUACUGACGCUGUUCUUGAAGAUUUGAAAUGAAUGAAUGAUUUCUUUUUAUGCUUCAAAAAAAAGCAUGGAAUGUAGACAAAGUUGGUUGCCACACGGCAGUUUUUUCCCCGAUUUACAGUUUUUUUUUUUCUUUUUUCUGGAUUCUUCAAAAAAUUGAUUAUUAUCAUCUGAAUUGUGGAAAGUAAUGGGUUAAAUGAUGUAAAGGGAGAGAGUGUAAGGGUGAGAUCUAGAUUCUAAUCCUCCGAAUCUAGUGAACUAUUUUUAAUUUUGUCAUCUAGAUAAUCCAUGUGGGAAUUUUUCUCUUUUCGGAAGCUGCCUGAGAAGUUUCGUUAUCCGGUCUAUUCGAUUGAUGUCACAUUUGUACCGACCUCAAAUCUCAUCCGUGGGCAGUGGGCCAGUCUUUAUUCGAAAGUAACGAACUUUUCAUGCUACGUCACAAAUAACUGAGUGCCACGGUAUUUUAUUUUUAUGGGCUAGUCUGAAUGGGCCAAAAUUCGUAGAGGGGCACCAGAUGCUGAAAAGAAGGCGAUGGAUGAAAUAUGUGGUUCAGCUGGUAUUUACGUCUCCUCUUCCAUUUUGAGAAUACUUUCCUACGAAAACUUCUCAAUUUUGGAUUGCUAUUUUUUAAAUAUUUUUGUAAAAAAAAAUUAUUGUAAUGAUUUAAUAUAUGUGAAAUAAAUAUACAUUCACGGAAAAUGUAAGAACUUAUUGAUAGAAAACUACAAUUCAAACACAUUUUUAGCUGAAAACUUCAGUACUAAAAGCAAUUGCUUCAGCUAAGUGAGUUUUUUGUUAAAAUUAUAUAUACUGCAGAAAGCUAAUUAGCAGGGAGAAUUGAAUAUUUGACAACAUCUCUCACCAACAAAUUCAGACAGCUUUUUUUAAAAAAAAAUUAAUGAAUAAUGAUCCAUAUCACAUAUAAUUAUGUGAUGCAUCAAAUAUGUUGUCCAGUCAAGGAGGUGAUCCUUCUUUGAAUAGCUAGAAAGACAAGUGAACUAUUGAGACAACUAAAGCAUCAGAGACCCUCGGAUAGUAUAAUAGCUACUUUGAUUGAUGACAUUUCUGGCAUGCAGAAGUUGUUUCACAUGUGUUCUUUUUGCUUGGUUAAGGAAAAAAGUAUGAAAAGUAAUAAAAAGACUAAUUAAGCUCCUAUGCCUUAGGCAUUCUUUUGGAUGAGUAAUGGAAUUUUCCUCAGUGUCAUUAAGCACUAAAUGUACAGUUUUUUGAGCCAUUGCUCGCACAUAUAAGCUCCUUUACACUGAAUGAAAUUAUCCUAACUUUUUCGACCAAAAAAAAAAAGAAAAAAAGAAAGACAAGUGACCAUUAUAUAGUGAUUCACCAUUCGCCAUACAAAUUCGAGGGAAAUACUCAAGAAGAAUUUAAUUUUGAUGGCAUUGAUUGUGCAUAAAGAUGUAUUGUAUAACAUGCACCAAAAUUCACACUAUAUCAGAAGUUGUCCGUUGCAGUCUCAAUAUUUGUGGUACAAGAUCAACUUUAGAAUAGAGGCCCGUGAUCUGCCAUGUUGGUCCUCAACAAAGAAACGUCUACUUGAGAAGACAGAAUAAUAGCACGAUGAUGCUAAGCGCCAAAAAAUCCGUUGAAUACAGAAAAGGGAAAAUCGCCAAUUUAGUCCCUAAACUUUUUUUUUCUGUCGAUUUAGUCCCUAUAUAUUAUUUAUAGCCAAUUUAAUCCCUAAACUUAUAUUUCGGUUCCAAUCAAGGAGUUUCGCGGCGGCGCCACCGCAUAAUUUCCGUCAGCUUCCCAAUCCAACAACAAGAAGGGGUAUUUUAGGAACUUCCAUUCUAAAGCCUUAACCAAAAUUAAAAAAAGGUGCAAACUCCACUGAAUCAUUCCGCCUACAAAAUUAAAAAAAGGUGCAAUCUCCACUGAAGCAAUCCGCCUGCAAAACAAAUCAUUCGCCACUAAAGCAUUGCUGCCACUCCACUGUGAAACUGCAACAUGACGGGCAAUUUUCGACAAUUUUUGUUUCUAGGAUUAUAUCCUCUGUAAACCCCCACUAUCCAAUUUCAAAUUGACAUCGUCACUGCUACAACCAUAGCUAUUUCUCCAAUGAUUCUGAUUUCGGAUGGUCACGGUCGGCGUCGUGGUAGUGACUCCAUUGGCAGAGCCAUAGCUGUUCCGCCGGAGAAGAAGUUGGUUUGGAUCGGACCUGGGAUCAAAAUAAUCGAAUGGUUGAAUAUCCUUAGCCCUUGAUUUGAUGGAUUGGGACAUGAAAGCGGAAUCAUGGCAGGAGUCAGGAAGAAAGAUUCAAAGGGCGAGAGAAGUCAAGGGGUCUAUGUGGAUGUCUUGGGUGGCAACUCCGUCGGUGAAGGAAGGAUUGGCGGCGGCGAUGGACUCCUCACGAGGACGAUAGGUGACUCCAAAGGAUGAGCUGAGGCCACCAUCGGCUUGAGGGUUUUGCAUUUGGUUCUGCUGCAUUGGUCCUUGCUUUGAAAAUCCACCGCAUAAUUCAGCCGCAUUGGGUUUUACGGGAGAUUUGGAUUUUGGGUGGGUAUUUCUCCAUUGAAUUGGGUUUUGGGUCUUUUGGGAGAUUUGCAUUUGGUUCUGCGGCAUAAUUUCCAUCGCCAAUUCUUUCGGGAGAUUAUGCCGCAUUUGAAAAGCAAGGACCAAAUUCAGACUCAUUGGAUUUUGAGAACUCAAUUGAAUUUGGUUUGAGCUCAAUUCAGAAUCUGAUGGAAACUCAAUUGGAUUGAAUUGAGCUGACUAGAUUCGAAACUCCAAUUCACAACAUCCAAGUGAAGUCAAGAAUUGAAUCUUGAGUUAUGAGAAACGGCAAGAUUGCACCUUUUUUAAUUUUGGUUAAGGCUUUAGAAAGGAAGUUCCUAAAAUACCCCUUCUUGUUACUCGAUUGGGAAGCUGACAGAAAUUAUGCGGUGGCGCCGCCGCGAAACUCCUUGAUUGGAACCGAAAUAUAAGUUUAGGGAUUAAAUUGGUUAUAAAUAAUAUAUAGGGACUAAAUCGACAGAAAAAAAAAGUUUAGGGACUAAAUUGGCGAUUUUCCCUACAGAAAAUUAUAAGUGGAUGGAGGAACAGAAAUUAAAGCGACCCUCCGGUUCCAAAUUCAUACUCAUCAGAUUGGCGCCAGAAUUGACUUCCCGCCAAUACUGAAACACCGCGCAUUGCCGCCCUAAGGUUCCCUAAUUAAGUUUUUUUUUUUUUUAUUGUCACCAUUCAUAUGUUUUUGACAAGUUGAAUGCCAAAUUGAGAAUUCGAAGACCCUGGCAAAGUACAUAGACUCGAACAAUUGCUUUCAUUGGCACAAGUGGAAAGCUAGGUUGGAUUAAAUUUCCCAUUCCUGCACAAGGGAAAAAGUACUCCCAAGAAGAAAAGACAGAAAUCUAGCAGGCCGUGUGAAUAGGCCCAAGCCUAUCUAAUUUGUUCAAUAGGGCUCUCAAUGCACGAUAAAAUGGCCCGAUUCUUCACUCUACAUGGGACCCCCGCAAAACAAAUGGAUUGUUCAUGGCCCUGAUCAGCAAAAAAGGAAUCCAUGUAAUUUUGUUUCUUGUUCCAGUGUAAUGAAAAAAAUAGGCCGGCCCAAAAUGGGGAUUAUGUUUAUUCCAUAGACCAAACUCCAGCGAAUCACAGGGGACAGCAGCUACUAGGGUAACAGAUGGGGAAAUGCGAAGAGCAGCAUCGCAUCUUCGUCAGGAUGAUGAUCUCCGUUCUUUAUCCUUUUCUUACGGUACACUUCUGUUGAAUGAGGAGUGAGAUUACUCUUGAAUGUGGACCAAUUCUUCUUAUCUCUCGUGAGCUGAGAGCUGAGGUGCAACGUUGCUUGCUUUGUUUGUUUUAUUUCCCGAUAAUCAGAAUUAGUACUUUUUUCUUUGAUCGGUUCUUCAGCGGAGGAGUUGUGUUUGUCAGAUUUCUUCCGACUUAAAUUUUGAUAAUCGCCAAACUCUACAGUUGAAUGCUUGAUAGAAGCUCCGGAAUCGGGACACCAGCGAGCCUCCUAAGCCAUGGCAAAUGAUUCUUCUUAGUUCUUUCUCCAGGGGUGACUUGAAGCGAAAAGGCAUAACUUUUCUCACGGGCCUGAAGAAAUCGGAAUUCCCAAGGCGAGGAUGAAAAGAAAGAUUGUAGCAAGGGUUUGCGAAGGAUUAAAAUAAGAAUGAUCUGGGUUGAACAUCCCCUAAUUCCAGCCAAUGUCAAUGCGACGCAGGAAAAGUCAAAAGGUUGAACAAUUACCAUUGUGGUACCAACAAAUGAUUUCUGCGGGUAUUUUGCAUCAAAUCAAAACUAUAUAAGAUUGACAUGUCCAAUCACACUCGAAUUAUCAAGCAAUUAACUAUUUUGCAUAAACGCAUCUUCAACAUACUGCUGCUCAAAGAAAAUAAUACAGAGACCACCAGCCACAAAAAAAAAAAGAAGCUCCAUGCAUAUGUCAAGGAAGAUGUACCAACAAUUGAUUGCAUGAAAAACCCACAUGUCCAUUAGAAUCGCAUCACUCAGCAAUACUAAGAUCAGUCCAUUUAACCAGUCAGCCCUCAAAAAACCUUUAAAACCUACUGCCCAAAAUUUAUUAGACUAUGCUACUAUAAACAGACAAAUCACUACCGAGUCAAACUCAAGACAACGCGGGUUCACUGAACAUUAACAUGGAAAACAUCACUCCUCUCCUCCUCCUUGACUCUUGGAAUGAAAACCUUGAGGACCCCAUUUUUCAUCUCAGCUUUGAUCCCAUCAGUCUUGUAGGUCUUCUCAGGAAGAUCGAGUCUGCUCGAGAGUCUCCUUCCCCGUUCAGCAUCCUCAGAUUCCUUCUGCCCUUCGCCUUUGAUGAUCAGGGCGUUCUGCUCCACCGAAACUUUGACGUCCUCCUUCCCCAACCCUGGCAUGUCCAACGACAGGUUCAGCCCUUCGGCAGUCUCCUUAAUGUCCCACCCACGACGGACUCCAGAUGUAAAAGUUGGCUCACUGAAUUGGUUCACCAGGUCCAAAAGUUGGCUCACGCUCCUCGUCGAGAAUGGAUCAAAAACUCCUGCACAGCCACCAGACAGAAAAGGAAAAAAUAAAAAAGGGUUGAAAUGGCUGAUAGGAAAAAUAGGGCGGGGUUUCAAAGCACAUAAGCGUAUUCCCAAGAGAGAAACAGACAAAAAAAAAUGCGGGAAAUUCAUUUGGUACCAAAGUAAGGUGAGUAAUCGCGGCGAUUGUAGAGAGGACGAUUGGAGCGGCGAUCGACGUCGAGACCGCGUUCGUCAUCGUCGUCAUCGUAAUCGCGAGCGACGUUGGUGUUGAACAGACGCGAUGACGCAGCAGACGCAGCCGGGCGGAGGGAAUUGACAGAGCGGCUGAGAAGGGUCGAUGAGACCAGCCUUUUCAAAGCGAGGGAUGCAGCCAUCUGACCAGCUGAUUCUCGUCGUCGAUCGAAAAGAGGGGCAGAAAAAGGAAGCGAUUCACAGAAGAGUUUCUUGAGGGUUUUUUCUUAGGUACUAUCGAGUGUGCUUCACGCUAUCGGAAAGGUGAACUGUGUGGUAAAUAUAUGAUAGCUGACUGAGUUCGGAGAAUUUACUAGAUGAAUCUAGAGGCUCCUGGAACCAUACACACAGAGUCGCCUUCCGCCGACUAAACUAGCAGGGCUUGGCGGCUUGGCCCAAUACGGCAAUGCUUACUCAGGAUGGAAGGGGCUUGUAUUGGGUUGGACUAGUAGCUCACUAUAAUACUUCUGGAGCCCAUCUGAAAUGUGUAGGUAAAAUAAGGUAGGGAAAUUUUAUUGAACAUCCGUUAUCCAAAUCAUUUUAUUUAUUUAUUUUUUUUGCCAUAGUUUCCUGUUUACGGCCAAGGCUUUUAAAAUGCGUUAUUACUAGGGCUCGUAUAUUGAACAAACUACUCGAUGCUCAUUACACGUAAUUUGUUUAUUUAAAAUGUGUUAAAAAUGAAUCAAACUACUCAAUAUUCAAAUUGAGAUUGGCUUGGUAAAAGCAUAGUUAUUAAAUUAGGUCUGAAAAGCAACUUGGCAAAUGAGGUGAGUUGAUGAAUCACUGGUUCAACCAAUAGGUGAGUGGUUAAAUCAGUGAGUCGCUGAAUAUAUUUAAAUAUUAUGUUUUAUAAUUUUUGAUAUAAAAUAUAUGGUAUAAAUUAUAAUAAACAAUGCUAUAGCAAAUGCUCAUUGAAUUUAAUUCGCUAUAGAAUAAUUAAUUCAUAUAAGAAUCAUCAUAUCAUAAAUUUAUUUAGUAAUCCACCAAAUUUCAAGUGUAAAAUUUUAUAUGUGUUUAAUGUAAUUAUCUAGCUUAUUUACGAAUUUUAAGUGCAAAAAAAAAUUAUUAAAAAUAAUAUUUUAUCUUUAAAAUUAAUUAUGUAAUAUGUUAUUUUUGAAACCCAUUUUAUGACUUAUAGUCAUAGAGCUUGGGGGUCAUAAGUUUUUAUAAAUAUAUCAAAUAAAUUUGUUUUAGAGAAAUACAAAAAGAAUAAAGAUAGAAUUGACAAAACGUUCAUAAAUUAUAUAAAAAAAGUUACUCAACUAAUAUAUGACAAGUAGUAUGGUGGUGAGUAUACUAUAGAUACAUGUCUAAAGUCCCAAGUUUGAAUUUUAGCAAGAAUAUUUUUUCCACAAAACCUGGUUUGCUAACAAAACUGGCUGGGUUCUCGGUUUAAUCCAGUUGAACUGUCGGGUCGUUGACUAGUUAAAGGAUUACACGUUUAAACGAUACAAUUAAAAACCCAAUCCAAUCCAGUAGUUGGUUUAUCGGAUUGACUGGUUUGAUCAUUGGAUCGGGGCGAGUUUAAUAAUUAUGGGUAAAAGCUCGUUAAAUCUUGAUUCACUAAUUAGCCAAGUCAAAUUUAAACAAUAUUUUAUAUUCGAUAACAUUCAAAUUUGAUAAAAAAAUUCGUUCAAUCUCGGUUUAAUAAACAAAUAAGCCAAAUUUAAAUAAAAUUUCAAACUUGUUAAAAAUAAUCAAACAAUUUUCAUAACAAUCAAAGUUGAAUUGUGACCUUAUUAGUGAAGCAAAUUCAAUGAAACUAGAGUGUUUUGAUUGAUUAGACUCAUUUAUAUCCUUAGUUAUUAGAACCCCCAUAAGUCAAAAUUGACAAACAAAUCAAAUGAUUGAUAUAUAUAUAUAUAUAUAUAUAUAUAUAUAUAUAUAUAUAUAUAGUCAAAAAAUUGCACAAAUUGUCCCUUACAUAUCAUUAAAGUAAAAGUUUAGUCUCUCAAAAUGAAGAUAAGUGGUUUUAAUUCUAGCAUCUAAAAAGUGGUCAUUUUUUGUCCUCCGACGACCUUUCCAACCAAUUUUAACCAGAAUGUGUCGAGAACUCCUCACGUGCUUUAUAUUUAAAUGGUAAAUUUGGUAAAUUUAUUAUUACACUGACCCAAAUAUAAAGGACCUAUUGCUUCCAUAUUUGUUUUAUUAUUAUUUGUUUUAGGCCUUUUUCAAGAUACACAAAAGCCAAAUAUCUUGUUACAUCCUUCAAUUAUUGAUAAGCAUAUGGUAGAAUGUUCCAAAAUUUGUCCUCGAAAUCAUAUAUAAUUCUAAAACAAAUGCAGUAUUUAGACAUGAUGAAGCAUGCAUAAACCAAUUUCUAUUUUGAAAUACGUUUUGAAAUCUGGGAUUCUAAAACAUACAAAAUGUACAUCCAACUUCCAAAUACAUUGUGUAUUAAGUUGAGAUAACUGUCUUCUAAUUGUGCAAUCUUUUAACAAAAAGGUCCUUAAAAUUUGCCUUGAUUUUUGCUUUCUUUCUCUUUUCAUUUCAUGAAUGCUUAAAUGAAGUGAGUUCAACUAAAACUAACAAAACUUAUUUUCUUAUGGAGUCUUGCAGGAAAGUUUCUUUCCCCUCCAUUUUUCUUACUUCUAUGUCUCUUCCGCGCAGAUAAUAUAUGAGUUGGAUUGUUUUCUCAAGUGUUGUCAAUCACAAAAUAGCGCUAUGUUGUAGCAUCAAUUGGUGUCAUUUUGUAAGUGCACUUAUAGUGCCUAAUUAGGUAAGAAAUAAUUCUUAAUCUUGUUUAAUUAGUUAUUUUGAACUUAUUUAUUACCCUAAUUUUUUUGCCCCAAAUUUAUUUAUUAACAACCUUAACCUCAUACGGUAUAGAAAUAAAUUCACCCUAUCUUAUGUCAGUUAUAGGUCCCAAAUUCAUAUUAGGAGAGGUUUUCUGCAAUUAUCCCUAUCAAAAUUGAGGUUGACUCUCAUUCCCUGACUCUCAUUUGUCGAUCUUCUUCUCAGCCUCUCUUUCACCGAUCCGUAGCUCCAUAGCCUAGUUAAGUUGCAAGUUCCUAGUCGGAAACUCCGCCAUUACUCUUUUCCUCGGAUCGUCUCAGCCACUUCACCUCCUCUGCUAUUGUUGUCUUCCUCGUUCUCAGCUAGUCAUUUGCCGCAAUAUCUCUCCAUUACUCAUACGGUUAGCUUCCUGUUAAUUUUUUUGUUUCUUUUAUUUAAAGGUUUUAUUGUUUUGUGGGAAAGAAUUAUUAACUCUUGUUAGGAUGAGUGAUAUGGUUUCAGAGAUAUUACAAGGUCUAUAUCAUGGUUCAAAGUCGCGGUCGCGGUCGCGGCUUGGAUCGUUCCACAUCGGUCUCGACAUAUGGGUCGCGGUCUCGGCGAGAAGUGAAUUUUUGAAAUAUUUAAUAUUCUAAAAAAUAUAAAAAAUAUGAUAAAUAAAAAUAAUUAAAAAUUAGUAAAAAUAAUAAAAAUUCAAGUUGAUUCGGAGUGACUCGGUGUGACUCGGCCGUUUCAACCCUUCACGAUGACGUCUCGGUCUGUCACGUAUCUCGAAAACGUUUCGUCGCGAUCUCAUCUCGGACUAGGCCGAGACCGAGUCGUCUCCGUCUCGGCCGAGUCUUCGAACCGUGGUCUAUAUACGGGUCAUAGACUGAGAGUUCACUCAACUAUUUGCACUUUAUAUUUGGGUCAAUGCAAUAAGUGACUUGUCAAGUUUACCUUUUAAAUAUGAAACACGUUAUGGAUCUGUGAUUCAUUUGGGCCAAAAUCGGCCCAAAAAGGUGUUGGAUGACUAAAAAUGAGCACAUUUUACGUUAAUUGUCGAUGGAGCGGUACUAAGAUUUGUCCUCAAUUCGAGCCGUGGCUCAAAAUUGACAGUCAAUGAGCCCUAUAAAUUCAAAAAGAGGCAAUAUCGCAUUCUGCCACUCCCUAUUCAAUCGACUGCACUAAAUGACCGUCCAAAGUCGCUGUUUUGUAAGUUGUAACUAAGAAACUGUAGGAUAUAUUAAUCGACCCACAAGAAGUCAACAAUAUAGCCACAAAACGUAAAGCAGCAGUGCGGAACGAAGACACGCAGGAGGCAAUUCGCUUGACAUAGCAAUCGACUCACAAUCUCGCUACAAUUGAGAAGCGGGCUAGUAUCACAUAUUUUAUAGGCUAUAGUCAAUUUCCUAAUAUCUAUACACUCUGGUUUUUGAACCGACUAAAGAAACCAAAACACAAUUGGACUCUGGAUCAACAAUACGCAAAAGCUUUAAGGAAACAUCAAACAAUUAGGAAAGCCAUCGAAACAGACUUGGACAAGGACACGGCCAACAAUUACUAUAAAGUGAACGAACGCCCCCAUCAAUGGUAAAAAUUCCAGUACCAGAAGUUUGAUCUCUGUUUUCUGCAGUUCCAGCAGCAGGGCAGGCAAAAGAAUAAUGGCAGGAGUUGGUUCUAGAGCAAUGAAAAGAAUUAGGAACAGAGGAAACAGAAUGCUGGUGAACUCGCCUAUGAUUUCCCUCCCUCCUGAGCUUGUUACUGAGGUUCUUGCGCGUGUUGCUUCUUCUUCAGCAACUGAUCUAUUUACAGCCAAAUUAAGGCACGUACAAAUAGAAAAUUUCCAAUUCAAGAAUUUAGCAAUUUUCUUUCUUUCUUUCUUUUUUGUGAUGUUGAAUAUAUAUAUAUUUAUUGUUUUCAGCUGCAAGGUGUUUUCUCAAAUUGCUGAGGAAAGCUACGUGUAUAAACGGGUCUCACUCGACAAGUUCCCCGUUGUGGCAUGGCACCACCGUCGCCAAAUUGCGGCGUUCUUCAACAAGUGUAAAUGCAGUAAAAAUCCCGAGGCCUUGUAUAGACAAGGAGUGGUAUGCAAUAUAUACGCUCAAAUCCCAAACACUCCAGAUAAAAUCUACGCUGUUAUGGUGACAUAACGUGCUAGUUAAUGUCUGAUCUCUUUACGCUUCAACACUCAAAGAGAUUUGAACUUAUUAGUGCCGGAUCAUACAUGUCCACUUAAAAUUUACUCCGAUUUCAUCACUUUUUAAGACGCUACGCAAGUUUGGAGUACGUUAAUUAGAUAGUCUUGCCAAAUCUUGCGAAUAAAUAAAAUAGAUAGCCAUAAAAGAAGGAAUAGAAAAGUUACGGCCUUGUUUGGAAAUGGAUUUUCUACCAAAAAAUGUUUAUGUUUUUUCGUGAACAGAUUUUUCGAUCACUUUUUUAUCUCAUACAUAUCAAAUUGUUACAUAUAUUUUUUACAAAAACUUCAGAAAAUUGCAAUCCAAACACUAACUCUUUUGGGUGUUGUAUCUCAUUGCAACACGAUUUCCCUUUUUGUUUUUGGUUUCACGAUGACCACAAAUUAGUUUAAAGGUGGUCCCUUAUACAGCCAAGUUCUGGUAAUUAGCCAGAUUACUUACGAUUUAAAUUCGAUCCAAUUGCUUAGGUUGAUUUUUUCGGGGGCGAGGAACUAAACUCUGCAAUCGAAUGCUUGAAAGAAGCUAUGGAGUCGGGACACGAGGGGGCUUCCUACGCCAUGGCAAUUAUUCUCAUCUUUUUCGGUGGUGACAUGAAGCAAAAAGGCAUAACUUAUCUCAAGGGAAUGAAGAAAUCAAGAAAUCUCGAAGGAAGGAUCGGCUAUUGUCGGGAGAGUUUGCGUAGGAUUAUAAGGAGGAUUUGGGUUAAAAAUCCGCUCGUUUUGAAUGAGAGACCAAAAUGCUGUACCAUGCAACACGAGAAACACAAAGGCUGGACCAGGUAUCAAUUUGAUAGAGACGACAACACCUGCGAGGCCUGCAAAUGUGAUGAAGAAAUUGCUUACAUCUGUGAUGCGCUCCCUCAAAUCAUCAUCUGACUUCAACUUGUUAUGUAUAGAAUUGCUUUGGACGAAUAAAAAAACAUGUUUAUACCAUCUUCUUCCUCAAAAUGCACCUUCAGCGAUCCUACUGAUAAAUACUGAUAACAUAAAUUACUGAUAAGUAACCAUCAGACCGAAAAGAGGUAAAUCAGUAUGAGAAAUAUGCAUCUUCAGCAAAAUAGGCAGCGCGAAAAAGUUACUGCCAAAGCAAUAUUCAUUUGAAGGAUAAACCUUGACAAUUGCGAGAGAAAACACCCAAAAAUUUAUUACAAGACCGCAACCGGACAGGAAACUGGAGGGAAACCUGAAAGGCAAUCAUUUGUGCAGUUUUCUUCGGAAGAAGACGGUUCCCGAAACAUCCAUCAAUAAAUGACGAACUCCAGCAUACACGUGAUAGAAAAGGGCUAAGGCAGCAAUCUCGGCGGAUAUUAGGCUGAGUUUCGAUGAAUAAAAGAAGAAUUGGUAGAAGCUCCCGUGGCUGAAGCAAAUCGAACCCAUCUUCAUAGAAGCAAGAUAAAAAGACAGGACUAAUGCGGAUAGAUAAAUUCCGGAGAUUCUGUUUAAAAUUGACAUCGUCGAGUUCACCUGGGGCUGGUAUAUAGGAAGAUGAGGAGAUAAGGGGCGGAAGACAUUUUUUCUUGUAUCAACUUUCGGGCUGACAUCAUCAUCCUCUUUGCCCGUCACUCGCAGAUUCAGACCAUCACCGGUCUCCUUAGCUUCAGACCCAGGACCGACUCCGGAUGCGACCGAAGAGUACUCACUGAAUUGGCUCACGCUCCUCCUCCAAAAUGGAUCAAACACACCUGCAUUAAAGACCCAGACAAAAAAAUUUUUAAAAAAAAUUAAAAAUAAAAGAUCAGUCGAAAAAUCGUCGAUUUAAAUAAAAAUAGAAAGGGACCCAUACUUCAUUUCCGCUGCGCUAUAUCAAUUGGCGAUAAGUAGGAGAAGAUCAGAGGCUAGGAUGAAAAUUCCCCAAAUUAUAUACAUAGAAGAGACAGAUUAUAGAUCUGGUAGGGGAGCAAAAAAGAAAAAAAAAUUUACCUGGAAAAGAGGAUAAUUCGCGGCGAUGGUCGAGAGGACGAUCGGAGCGGCGGUCGACGACGUCGAAAACACUUGAUGACGCAGCGGAAGCAGCCGGACGGAGGAGGGGAUUGAGAGACCGGCUGAGAAGGCUGCUCGAUGAGACCAGCCUCUUAAGAGCUAGUGACGAAGCCAUCUGAUGAUCUGAGUUAGCAGCUGAUUAGGUAGUUGCUCGAACUCCCGGAGCAAGAAAGAAGGAAAGGAAAAAACAAUAGAUCUGGGGAAAAAUCAUCAAGGUUUUCUCUCAGGCGACCUGAAAUGUUAUCUAGGUGGUUUCCUAGUAGGACUGCAGGAUGGAUAAACUUCUGAGUACGGAGAGUUUACCAGAUGAAUCCAAUAGGCUUUUACUGGGCUUAGCCCAGAAUUAUGGGCUGGGUUAGAUGGGCUGCGGAUUUUCCUUGUAGAAUACUUUGUGUAUAUUACUACUAUGAGUGCGUUUGAUAAAAUUAAAGUAUAAAAUUUAAAAUUUAAAAUCUGAAUUUAUUAAAUUAUUGAAUUAUUAAAUUCAUUAGCUUAUUGAAUUGUUGAGUAUUAAAUCUAAUACAUUCGAGUGCAUAUCACAUUCAGUGAUAAGUGAAUAGUUUAUCACUUAAUUUUGGGAGCAUGUUUUGCCUAUAAUUCACUUAUAACUUAAUUUUGGGAGCACAUUAUAUCUAGAAAAUUCAGUUUCACUUAAUUAAUUUGGAUGUUCAAUUUUUGGUUAUCAAAUGAUUUGAAUAUAUUAAGAUCUGAUUCUAUUAAAUUUAAAUGCUGAAUUAGAUUAUCAAACAGGAAGGAAUCUUAUCGGGUCAAAAACAUUUUUUUUUCUAAUUUUUGUCUAUAAAAAAAUCAAGAAUUAAUUGAAUAAUUUCUAACUCCUUCGAUAUUUACCGAUUCAUUUUAUCAAACCAAAUACUUAGAACUCGGUAUAUUUAGCACGACUAAUGCGGCAUGUUAGCAAAGUAAAUGCUACCAUGUAUAAUUAUUUUAAGGAAAAUUUGUCAAAUUGGUCCCUAACAUUUUUACAAAAAUUUUUUUAGUCCCUAAUAUUUAAAAUCAGCCAGAAUAGUUCCUAACAUGUAAAUUAUGAGUCAAUUUGGUCCUAAUGCUCAUAUUUGCUCUUUUUUCCAACUAAAAAUAGCACACCGGCAUAAUUUCAAUGACAAAAUCGGAAACAUUCGUUAAUCCCAAAUUUUCCAAGCUCGGAUCUGACUGAAAUUUCUGAUCUGAUUGAAAUUUCAGGAAAAAUCCACGUUAACAAGGAAGGAAGGACCCCCAAGGAUAUCUUCACUGAAACUCACUAGGAGCUCGUGAAGAGUGGGGGACAGUGGCUGACCAACAUCUCCCAAUCAUGCUCCGUCGCGGCAGCACUCAUAGCCACGGUUGCCUUUGCAAUAUCAACCACCGUUCCAGGCGGUGUUAAGCAAGACAUCGGUACGCCAACGCUGGAGAACGAGCCGGCAUUUGACUGCUUCGCCAUUUCAUUCCUCGUUGCACUUUGCUUUUCGGUCACCUCCUUAGUCAUGUUUCUAGCCAUUCUCACGUCCAAGUACCAAGAAAAAGAUUUUGGCACCAGCUUGCCUAGUAAGCUUCUGUUGGGCUUAACUUCGCUGUUUGUAUCCAUAGCUUCCAUGCUCAUCUCAUUCUGCUCUGCCCACUUUUUUGUGCUCGAAGAUAAGCUCAAGUUCGCGGCCUUCCCCAUUUAUGCAGUGACUUGCUUGCUUGUCACCUUGUUUGUUAUAGUCCAGUUUCCUGUGUACUUUGACCUUAUUUGGGCUAUCAUUCAGAAAAUUCCCCAGUGCAGCUACAAAGUCAUUCCUUUAUGACACAGAUUGAUGUAUCUUCAACCCAAGCAUGUUUAUGUAGUACAUAUUUUUGUUUUGACAAAAAAAUUCUAAAAAUACCGGUCCAAAUUGAAAAACUUAUCAAAAUUUCAGUUUCCUAGGCCUUUGGCCCUGCCUAUAUUUGCGGAUUUAUCUCGAAAUUUCAGUCAGAUCCGAGCUUGGGAAAUUUGGGAUUAACGAAUGUUUCCAAUUUUGUCCUUGAAAUUAUGCCGAUGUGCUAUUUUUAGCUAGAAAAAAGAGCAAAUACGAGCAUUAGGACCAAACUGACUCAUAAUUUAUAUGUUAGGAACUAUUCUGACUGAUUUUAAAUGUUAGAGACUAAAAAAGUUUUUUGUGAAAAUAUUAGGGACCAAUUUGACAAAUUUCCCUUAUUUUAAACCUCAGGGAGCAAAUGUGAAAAUUAGCCCUUUUUGAAUCGUCAGUUUUCAGUUAACUGGGUUUAACAAAACGGACUGACUGAAGCCAAUAACCGGGAAAUACAGCCACCGGAGGGCAAUCCUCAUUAUCGACGCCGGGAUCCGCAAAGAUGAUGGUGGAUCUGAGUGCAUUUUCUGACGAGAAAUUCGACCCUAAAAGAUGGAUAAACGGCGUCUGCCAGUCACGCCACCCUCAGGACCCUUUAGACAAACACUUGGUGGAUCUGGAGAUGAAGCUCCAAAUGGUGUCUGAGGAGAUCGCCGCCUCCCUCGAAGAACAGAGCUCCACCGCCCUCCUCCGGCUCCCCAGAGCUACGCGUGACGUCAUCCGCCUCCGUGACGAUGCUCUCUCCCUUCGUUCCUCCGUCGCUUCUAUCCUCCAAAAACUCAUCAAGGUCACCACUCGGCCAUUUUUUCACUUUAUUUUUUCCACUUCUAUUAGCUGAUUUGAUAGUAGAUUUGUAACAAUAGCAAUGCAUUGGCUAAUUGAAAUGUCGAGUUAUUAAUCAAGCAAUUAAUUGAAAGUCGAGUGAUUAAUCAAGCGAAUGAUCAAAAGUUCGAGCGGUUACUGAAGCCAUUGACUCUGCUUUAGGAAGUGUUUUAGUAAUUUAAUUUGGUGUACAGGCGGAAGGAUCAUCGGCCGACUCUAUCGCUACACUAGCCAAGGUUGAUACCGUCAAGCGAAGAAUGGAAGCUGCUUAUGAAACAUUGCAGGUUGCGGUUCUGUUGAAUAAUUUUAUUUUUCAAGUCUUUAAUCUGUCAGUUUUGAUUGAUGCUGCUGUUUAAUCGUUGUGGAUUAUGAGCAGGAUGCUGCUGGUUUAACUCAAUUAAGCUCAACAGUGGAGGAUGUAUUUGCUAGUGGUGAUCUUCCGCGUGCAGCUGAGACUUUGGCUAAUAUGAGGCACUGCUUAUCUGCUGUUGGUGAGGUAGUUAUUCAGUGAGGCUCCUAGCUAUGAAGGUUCCACUGCAUUCUUUAAUAAUCCUGCAAAUUUUUCAGGUUGCUGAAUUCGCCAAUGUUAGAAAGCAGCUUGAAGUCUUAGAAGAUAGACUAGACUCCAUGGUUCAACCUCGUCUAACAGAUGCAUUGACCAAUCGCAAGGUAAUUUUUAAAGCCAGAAGGUGAUCUCCUUUCAAAAAUUUUUCCUAGGCGCUUGUUAUUUUCUUGAGUCUCUUCAGAUCCAUUUCUGUUCCUUUAUCGUGAUCUUGCUGGCUUCUCAAUGCUUUGAUGAAAUGAACUGUGAAAUUUAUCUUUUUCACUAUAGAUUGAUGUCGCGAAAGAUAUGCGGGGUAUCCUCAUCAGAAUUGGGAGGUUCAAGUCCUUAGAAAUGCACUACACGAAAGUCCACCUCAAAUCCAUAAAAAAGCUGUGGGAGGAGUAUGACCUGCGACAGCAAGCUAGUAAGCUUGCAAAUGAGAAGAAUGAGUUAGAAAGGUUCUCAAGUGGUCACGAUUCUCAAUCAAGUUCAACAAGGUUUUCAUUCUCAAGUUGGUUGCCUAGUUUCUACGAUGAAUUGCUACUUUAUCUUGAACAAGAGUGGAAGUGGUAAGGUUCAUGUCCUUGUUCUUUUACCAUAUAUCACCUAAAUGUACUUCCUCAUGGCAAUCUAUUAAUGUAACAUACUGGUUGGAGAAACGCGUCAUCAGGGCAGAUUUCAGAAGUUUAGCAAAAUUAAAGGUGUUGAUACUUAUCUCCGUGACUUAAAAAUUACAAUCUUUUCAAAAAAUUCUGGCUACAGCAAGGCAGGAGCUGCGUGAGGUUCCACUUUUGAACUAAACAUGUGUACUUUACGAUGGGCCGAUUGUGUUGUUGCCUUUCUGAACAUUUUGUUUCCAUAUCUAAUGUUUGGAGAUGUUCUUCAAGAAAAACUUUCUUUUUGAUAGAAGGCUAGAAGUACAGUAGAUAGAUUGUAGCUCUAUUAAUUUUUUCCACCUAAAAAGCAAUUUAACUUCCCAGAUUCAAUCAGAUCAAACUUUCCUUCUCUGUUGUUAUAAUGGCCUUGAAAUCUUCAAAUAUCCACAUUUAGACUUUCUUUUCCAGGUGUAUCCUUGCUUUUCCAGAAGAUUAUAGGGCUCUGGUACCAAAGCUACUGAUUGAGACCAUGACAGCCAUUGGCCAAAGCUUUGUAUCUCGUAUCAACCUUGCUACUGGGGAUGUUGUUCCUGAGACAAAAGCACUGUCUAAAGGCAAUCUUUUACAUCGUCUCUGCAUUUUUGAAUCAAGGAUUAAGCUGAAAUCACAUAUAUCUGUAUGCGCAUUUUUGAAUCAAGGAUUAUGCUGAAAUCACAUAUUUAUUAUCUGUAUGCUUAAUGUUGUGCCUUUUGUGACCCCUUCCCAGAAAAAAGAAAUCAAGAAAAAAUAGGAAGGCCACUUGGGUAUUAUUUGGUGAGACUGUUUAUUUGGGUAUUAUUUGGGGCAUUUCAACACUUACAAUGGAUCUGAUUAUUUGACCUUCGAGGACAAUUUAUUUCUUUGCCUUUUGAUGCUGUCAUGUACUUUUAGGAUAAAAGGCAGAUUCUACAUGUAACUUGUGGGGUUUAGGAAGGGCAAAUAUACAAGUCUUAAAUUCUAGGCAAAGAUGCAUGAAUGAAAAAGGUCAAUUUCGAGUGACACUGCCUACCAGAGUAUGAACGACUGAAACACUAAACAUGAUUUUUGACUUAAAAUGUUAGGUUAACUCCUAUCAGCUAGUUGGCUUAAAGAUGCUUUCAACUGUGUUUGACUUUUUGGUCUAGGUUUGAUAACAUUAUUUCAGUGAAUGAGUCAUCUUUCAGGUUGGUAUAGGUUUAUAUCUGUUAGCAGAGAGACUGUUUUGUUGAAAUCUGUUCCAUUCCAGGCUGUAAGGUAGUAGUCAAGGCUGACUGUUUUGUAAGCCUCAUGCAGAAAAAUAAAAACUAAUCUAAUCAAGUAGAUUUUAAGUGAUAUAACAGUCUCUAGUAGCACAAUCAUCUAGAGGGCUCAUGAAAGCUAUACCUGCAUCAGCAGAUUGUCUUUCGGCUUUUUUCCAUUCUUAAUCUGGCAUUUUCCAACUAGUAAUGUUGCAAACUUGUAUCUAUGCUGAAAAGCACGAAAGGGAAAAAAAAUGAUGCUGAAGCUUGAUAUUUAAAAUUUCAGGUGUCUUAGAUAUCUUAUCCACAGAUCUGCCAAAAGGUGUUAAAGUUCAAACUAAGCAUUUGGAAGCAUUGAUUGAGUUGCACCAUACGACGGGGAGCUUUGCUCGGAACAUUCAGCACCUAUUUUCAAAUGCAGAUCUUCAGGUUUUGCUGGAUACAAUGAAAUCAAUCUACCAUCCUUAUGAAUCAUUUAAACAAAGGUAAAUCCAUAUUGUGUAGAGAUGUUGUGUUCCUGUUUUACUCCUAUUUCAUGCAAUGAUGCUUGAGAGACAAUUUACUUUUCUUCGCUAGUUGUCCAGAUGGACAUAGGUUCUUCUUCUCUCUGUAGGAGCUGUACUGCUGGUUUUUGAUGCAGUACACCUUGGCUAGGUAUCUUAGUUUUAGCAGUAUGUGUUGGUUUUUUUGUUGGGAGGUAUCUACUCAAAGUCGAUUAAGAACUGUGUAUUUCAUGUAACAUGACAAUAUUUCUUCUCUUCUCAUUAUCUCAUGGAAAUGGCUUUGGCGGUAGUAGUGAGAGGGAGGUUGUCUAAGCUGUUGCACUCAGUUUUCACUUUACUGUUGUGCCUUGAUAUUUUGUGAUGACAGCCUACUCAUUGACCUGUCUGCUAGGUAUGGACAAAUGGAGCGUGUUAUCCUCUCCGGUGAGAUUGCUGGACUUGAUCUCAGGGGAGUAACUUUUAGUCGCUUUGUUGGAGUCCAUGGAGUUGAACUCAGUGAAACCGUCCGAAGAAUGGAAGAGUCCAUUCCACAAGUGAUUAUACUUCUUGAGGCAGCUGUUGAAAGAUGCAUCAACUUCACAGGAGGUUCUGAGGCAGAUGAGCUUAUUCUUGCACUUGAUGACAUACUGUUACAAUACAUCUCCGCCCUGCAAGAAAUUCUAAAAUCAUUGAGAGCUGUGUGUGGAGUGGAUGCAAUUGAUGGCUUGGCUUCAAAGAAGGAUCUUGGAGCUGACAGAAAGGAUGGAACUUCUCAUGCACGUAAAGCUGACUUUUUGUCCAAUGAGGAAGAAUGGUCCUUUGUCCAAGCUACACUGCAGAUUCUCACAGUUGCAGAUUGUUUGUCUAGCAGAUCAUCGGUCUUUGAGGCUUCUUUAAGAGCCACUCUUGCUCGAUUAAACACAAAUCUCUCUCUUUUAGUUUUUGGCUCUAGUCUUGAUAAAAACCAUUCCCAUGUGGUCAAUGAGGACAGAAGUGGGGAACCAUCUACUAUUGGUAGAGCAGCUUUGGAUAUUGCAGCUUUGAGGCUUGUUGCUGUCCCUGAGAAGGCUAGGAAGCUUUUCAACCUAUUGGAGCAGGUACUUGAAAGAGGAUAAAUGUAAAUGUUGUUUUGGAAAAAGUUAGGAGAAAGUGUAAAAGGUAAAAACAACUUAUAAAUGUUUGUUUGAAGAUCAUGGAAAAUAUAUAUGUUUUUUAAACUUUAACAAGCAGGAUUCAGGACGGGACAAAAUAUAUGAUGUGAUGUCGUGAUAGAUGGGGAAUUGGAGCAUAUAGUAGAUAAGUGGUUUCAGUGAACUUCAAUACUAAUAUCACUCUUAGCAUAUGUCCAGUGAAUUGUUCUGAAUGAUAACAUUGAGAAAAAAAAUUCAAAAUAUUGUUGUCAAUCUUGACCCACUGCUUGUAUUUCUGAUUUAAUUGUGCCUAUUGAUUGUUUAUCUGAAAAUUUUCUCCUUGAAUACUGAUAUAGCCUAGGAAAAUGCAUGAUCUGAUCUUUUAGUCAUAACCAACAUUUGAUGUUGCAUGCAGUCUAAAGAUCCUCGGUUUCAUGCGCUUCCGCUUGCAUCCCAACGAGUUACAGCAUUUGCAGAUGCUGUCAAUGAGCUUGUUUAUGAUGUUCUUAUAUCAAAAGUACGGCAACAGUUUAAUGAUCUGUCUCGUCUGCCAGUGUGGUCUUCAGUGGAUGAACCUAGUGCUUUCCCCCUCCCAAGUUUUAGUUCAUAUCCUCAGUCUUAUGUAACCAAUGUUGGUGAAUAUCUUCUCACCUUACCCCAGCAAUUAGAACCGCUUGCCGAGGGCAUUUCCAGCAGUGAUACUAAUGCAGAUGAGGCUCAGUUUUUUGCAACUGAAUGGAUGUUCAAGGUAACUACAAAAUAUUACAGUUUACUGUCACAAUAAUAUACUUCAAAGAAAUGCUGGUCUAGCCAUCUAACAUGCUUGCAGCAAAGUGGGGCGGGUUUGCUUGUGGGGCUCGGCUGGUUUGUAAAUAAACAAGUGUUGGUGCCGCAGAAGGCUGAAACUCUUGUGAUUACACAUAUUAGACAAAAUAAUUGGAAGUCCUUACAUAUUGAGAACUUAACAGCAUGUUCUUUUGAUUGAGUUGCUGUUCUUCUUUUAGUUACUCCAAUUGGAGAACUUAACAGUUUCUCCAAUGUGGGAUGAAUAAUUUGCUUCAGUUUUCUUUUCAAACCUGCAAAAGGUUAUUGCUCAUGGCUAUGGUUUAGUUAUUCUUUCUUUUGUUUAUCAUAAAAGGUUGCAGAGGGUGCUUCUACUCUUUACAUGGAACAACUGCGUGGUAUUCAGUAUGUAACUGAUCGUGGAGCACAACAGCUGGCUGCUGAUAUUGAGUACUUGAGUAAUGUGCUUUCUGCUCUAUCAAUGCCAAUUCCUUCAGUACUUGCUACUUUUCAGACUUGCCUAUCAACCCCAAGAGAGCAGCUUAAGGAUCUUGUCAAAUCGUCGGACUCAGGGAAUCAACUAGAUCUUCCUACUGCGAACCUUGUAUGCAAGAUGCGGCGACUGAGCUUGGAUUAAUAUUGCAGUUUUUAAGGUGAUAUACCAGAUGUUUGCUUACAAGUUACCCUUUCUUGGACCAUUCUGGAGAUAUUCAGAGAUACCCAGCCUCAAAUGAGGGUUGCAAGAUCUGGAGAGAUUCAGAGAUACUCAACCUCAAUGAGGGUUUGCAGGAUUUGGGAACUAAACACUGCCUCCGGGCAUUUUAUACAGAAGGGGAGGAUUAUGUGCUCUGGCAGCAUAUGGUUCUGACUUUCAAGUCUUACUGUACAAUAUGCACAGCUUGUGUUCCCCGCAAAUUAACUCGGAUGAGUAGACCUUUGAAAUCAAAUUCCAGUUAAGUUGACAUGUUGUCCUUGGACAACUUAAUUGAUCAGAUUUUUUUUUCCAGGAGGUAUCACACGAGCAAAUGAAAUUACUUAUAGGAGACCAUGUAAGAUACAGCCUUCCUACAUUUGAAGUUCAAUCAAUAUAGGCGAUGUUUUUCCAAAAAAAAACACGGGGCUAAACCAUCUAGAGCAAUAGAAAAAAGGUCUAGCAAUGUAGGACUCUAUUUGCGAAGGAAAAAAGAACAAAACUGAAAACCUAUCUAAUCUGCAUUAGCUAUAGCGUUCAAUCACCUUCAAGCCUCCAUCACCAACCCAAGUAAUAGAUCUUCAAAAUCCCUCCAGUUGGUAUAGUAAAAUUGACGAUUUGACUCACAAAAGAAGACGCCUGUGUGCCAACAUAUGGUUCUUUUAGGAUUCGAAUGAUCACCAAAAGAGGGCUCUCCAAUUGUUUCACAAUUUUUAACCAACUUCAGAGAAAAAAAAAAUGGCUACCUCAAAAUUUUGGUACUCCAAUAACAGUUGCGUUUCAGAUGCAGCCAGCCCAUCAGAAUCAAAACCUGAAAAACUGCACCUUGCACAAAUACAUGGAAAGAUGUUCACAGUUUGCAAAUUGAAUCCGCUAUAUUUCAAUUUACGACACCCCCUUUGCAAACUUAAGAUUGAACUUCUGCAAUAAGACCUCCAAGCGAGAAUCUUCAGUGCUAGAUUCUUCAUAGGGGAGAAGACUCCCAUCCUAGUGCACAGACUAAGGCAGGUGGAAGUUAACAUACCAUGUCUGAAUAUGCAAAGAACCAAUAUAUCCAUUUCCAAACAUUCAAUGAAUGGUUCUGCCAAGCCAAAAAAGAAAUAUCUUGGACCUUGUCUUGUGUGCGACAGGUUUAUUUGAACAAAAAAUGGUUGCUAAGUUGGUUUGAAACAGCCAAAACGCCCAAGCAAAUUUCCGUGGACAAAUUCAAAAGCUAAUAUGAAGGACGAGAUCAAGAUUACCAUUGACUAUUAAGGGUCAUCCGCAACUUGCUCUUAUAUCUUUGACUAAAUUAUGUGUUCUUAUCCAUAACCAGAUUGCUUUUAAACUUCUCUUCUUUUAUGUUGUCUGGUUAGCUGCCUUUUCAUCUUCAUAGUGCCUGCAGAGUUCAACUCGUUGAGUGAACAGACAUUAAGGCACUUAAUCAAGGAAGAAUGAGUUUACCUUUUUUUCAAAAAUCAUCAGAUAAAUUAUCAGAGAAAACCUAAGGAGAUCCCUAUUCAUUAGCUCAUUGGCAGCUAAUGUAAGUGGAGUACAAGAAUCUGCAAUCGGUCAUCUGAGCAGACAAGAAAACACAAAGCCCAAACUAUUGAUAGUUAGGAAGUCAUUUUACGGUUAAGAAAAUCAAAAUUUACUUGUUACCUCACAGUUGAUCAAACUGUUAACUCCUUCAGCAGCAGUAAUAUCCAUGCACAUAUAGAGUAUCUGUUCUAUAACUACUUGAGAAAAGAUUCCCAGAGUGAUCCCAAAAAAGAAGGAACCAGAACUCUGGUAGGCAUAUCACAGAUGAUUGAUAAAUCAAUUAGAUCAACCAAAGUCUAGAUAGAUCAUUGAAUAGUUACAACAACGAAGUCAUACCUACCUCAACCUUUUCUCUCUAAAUAUAUCGAUGAUAGGGAGAUGAUACAGUCUCAAUAAAGCUGUAAGAACAAAGAAGAGUUUCACCCAUGAUGACCAUAGAACUUUGACUCCAAAAGUAUACAUUCAUGAAAACUGGUGAGUGGUGGAAAAACUACCUCUUCUCAUUUAAAAUUCAAACACCCAUCCAAUGUCC
This 31244-nucleotide long non-coding RNA is filed under the name Coffea arabica (coffee). RNAcentral's name for it is "long non-coding RNA (CARA_LNC001489)". Lineage: Eukaryota; Viridiplantae; Streptophyta; Magnoliopsida; Gentianales; Rubiaceae. The record is from RNAcentral.